RNAcentral lists this ribosomal RNA (492 nucleotides) under uncultured bacterium. RNAcentral's name for it is "partial 16S ribosomal RNA". It matches the Rfam family "Bacterial small subunit ribosomal RNA", at positions 30 to 507 of the family's 1533-position model. The record is from RNAcentral.
AUUGAACGCUGGCGGCAUGCUUUACACAUGCAAGUCGAACGGUAACAGGCCUUCGGGUGCUGACGAGUGGCGAACGGGUGCGUAAUGCAUCGGAACGUACCCAGAGGUGGGGGAUAACGCAGCGAAAGCUGUGCUAAUACCGCAUGUGUUCUGAGGAUGAAAGCGGGGGACCGAGCAGCAAUGUUUGGCCUCGCGCCUUUGGAGCGGCCGAUGUCGGAUUAGCUAGUUGGUGGGGUAAAGGCCUACCAAGGCGACGAUCCGUAGCUGGUCUGAGAGGACGACCAGCCACACUGGGACUGAGACACGGCCCAGACUCCUACGGGAGGCAGCAGUGGGGAAUUUUGGACAAUGGGCGCAAGCCUGAUCCAGCAAUGCCGCGUGCGGGAAGAAGGCCUUCGGGUUGUAAACCGCUUUUGGCAGGAACGAAACGGUGUCCGCUAAUACCGGGCGCUAAUGACGGUACCUGCAGAAUAAGCACCGGCUAACUACGUG